GACGAACGCUGGCGGCGUGCUUAACACAUGCAAGUCGAACGGAAAGGCGCGGCUUUUGCUGGGUUCUCGUUUGGCGAACGGGGGAGUAACACGCGAGGAACCUCCCCCUGACUUUGGGAGAACUUCAGGAAACUCGGGCUAUAACCCGGUAGGAUCUCCUGCACCAUGGGGUUGGAUGGUAAAAUUCGGCGGUGGUGGCUGGUCUCGCGGCUUACGAGCUGGUUUGUGGAGUAGGUGCGGACCAGGCGUAUGACGGGUAGGCCGCCUGGGAGGGUGGACAGCCACAUUGGGCCUGAGGUACGGACCAGACGGCUACGGGAGGCAGUAGGGGAGAAUAUUGCACAGUGGGCGGAAGCCUGAUGCAGCGACGCCGCGUGCGGAAUGACGGGCUUCGGGUUGUGAACAGAUUUCGCCUGUGACGAAGCGUGAGUGACGGUAAUGGGUAAAGAAGCACCGGCUAACUACGUG
This 468-nucleotide ribosomal RNA is filed under the name uncultured bacterium. Its description in RNAcentral is "partial 16S ribosomal RNA". It matches the Rfam family "Bacterial small subunit ribosomal RNA", at positions 28 to 507 of the family's 1533-position model. The record is from RNAcentral.